UACAGAGGCCUCGAGCGUUAGGCGGAUCACUGGGCUUAAAGCGUGUGUAGGCGGACUUCUAAGUACCUUGUGAAAUCCCACGGCUCACCCGUGGAACUGCUUGGUAUACUGGUCGUCUUGAGCCUUCUAGGGGCGAGUGGAACAAAUGGUGGAGCGGUGAAAUGCGUAGAUAUCAUUUGGAACGCCAAUGGUGAAAACAACGCGCUGGGGAAGUGCUGACGCUGAGACACGAAAGCCAGGGGAGCGAACGGG
Molecule: ribosomal RNA, 252 nt
Filed under: uncultured bacterium
Lineage: Bacteria
Description: partial 16S ribosomal RNA
Rfam family: Bacterial small subunit ribosomal RNA
Source: RNAcentral